Molecule: ribosomal RNA, 253 nt
Filed under: uncultured bacterium
Lineage: Bacteria
Description: partial 16S ribosomal RNA
Rfam family: Bacterial small subunit ribosomal RNA
Source: RNAcentral
UACGUAGGGCGCAAGCGUUGUCCGGAAUUAUUGGGCGUAAAGAGCUCGUAGGUGGCUUGUCACGUCGGGUGUGAAAGCUUGGGGCUUAACUCCAGGUCUGCAUUCGAUACGGGCUGGCUAGAGGUAGGUAGGGGAGAACGGAAUUCCUGGUGUAGCGGUGAAAUGCGCAGAUAUCAGGAGGAACACCGGUGGCGAAGGCGGCACUCUGGGCCGGUACUGACGCUGAGGAGCGAAAGCGUGGGGAGCGAACAGG